GCCGGCGUAGCUCAGUUUGGUAGAGCAACUGAUUCGUAAUCAGUAGGUCGGACGUUCAAAUCGUCUCGCCGGCA
RNAcentral lists this transfer RNA (74 nucleotides) under Thioploca sp. RNAcentral describes it as "tRNA-Thr". It matches the Rfam family "tRNA". From Rfam's summary of the family: Transfer RNA (tRNA) molecules are approximately 80 nucleotides in length. Their secondary structure includes four short double-helical elements and three loops (D, anti-codon, and T loops). Lineage: Bacteria; Pseudomonadati; Pseudomonadota; Gammaproteobacteria; Thiotrichales; Thiotrichaceae. The record is from RNAcentral.